CCUACGGGAGGCAGCAGUGAGGAAUAUUGGUCAAUGGACGAGAGUCUGAACCAGCCAAGUAGCGUGAAGGAUGACUGCCCUAUGGGUUGUAAACUUCUUUUAUAUGGGAAUAAAAUGUUCCACGUGUGGGAUUUUGUAUGUACUAUAUGAAUAAGGAUCGGCUAACUCCGUGCCAGCAGCCGCGGUAAUACGGAGGAUCCGAGCGUUAUCCGGAUUUAUUGGGUUUAAAGGGAGCGUAGGUGGAUUGUUAAGUCAGUUGUGAAAGUUUGCGGCUCAACCGUAAAAUUGCAGUUGAAACUGGCAGUCUUGAGUACAGUAGAGGUGGGCGGAAUUCGUGGUGUAGCGGUGAAAUGCUUAGAUAUCACGAAGAACUCCGAUUGCGAAGGCAGUUCACUGGACUGCAACUGACACUGAGGCUCGAAAGUGUGAGUAUCAAACAGGAUUAGAUACCCCUGUAGUC
Molecule: ribosomal RNA, 460 nt
Filed under: uncultured bacterium
Lineage: Bacteria
Description: partial 16S ribosomal RNA
Rfam family: Bacterial small subunit ribosomal RNA
Source: RNAcentral